UACAGAGGUGGCAAGCGUUGUUCGGAAUUACUGGGCGUAAAGGGCGAGUAGGUGGCCAUCUAAGUCAGACGUGAAAUCCCCCGGCUUAACCUGGGAACUGCGUCUGAUACUGGGCGGCUUGAGUAUGGGAGAGGAAUGUAGAAUUCCAGGUGUAGCGGUGAAAUGCGUAGAUAUCUGGAGGAAUACCGGUGGCGAAGGCGGCAUUCUGGACCAUUACUGACACUGAAUCGCGAAAGCUAGGGGAGCAAACGGG
Molecule: ribosomal RNA, 253 nt
Filed under: uncultured bacterium
Lineage: Bacteria
Description: partial 16S ribosomal RNA
Rfam family: Bacterial small subunit ribosomal RNA
Source: RNAcentral